Molecule: ribosomal RNA, 451 nt
Filed under: uncultured bacterium
Lineage: Bacteria
Description: bacterial SSU rRNA
Rfam family: Bacterial small subunit ribosomal RNA
Source: RNAcentral
GUAGGGAAUCUUCGGCAAUGGGGGCAACCCUGACCGAGCAACGCCGCGUGAGUGAAGAAGGUUUUCGGAUCGUAAAGCUCUGUUGUAAGAGAAGAACUGUGAGAAGAGUGGAAAGUUUCUCACUUGACGGUAUCUUACCAGAAAGGGACGGCUAACUACGUGCCAGCAGCCGCGGUAAUACGUAGGUCCCGAGCGUUGUCCGGAUUUAUUGGGCGUAAAGCGAGCGCAGGCGGUUUGAUAAGUCUGAAGUAAAAGGCUGUGGCUUAACCAUAGUACGCUUUGGAAACUGUCAAACUUGAGUGCAGAAGGGGAGAGUGGAAUUCCAUGUGUAGCGGUGAAAUGCGUAGAUAUAUGGAGGAACACCGGUGGCGAAAGCGGCUCUCUGGUCUGUAACUGACGCUGAGGCUCGAAAGCGUGGGGAGCGAACAGGAUUAGAAACCCUAGUAGUCCG